Molecule: ribosomal RNA, 253 nt
Filed under: uncultured bacterium
Lineage: Bacteria
Description: partial 16S ribosomal RNA
Rfam family: Bacterial small subunit ribosomal RNA
Source: RNAcentral
UACGUAGGGUGCGAGCGUUAAUCGGAAUUACUGGGCGUAAAGCGUGCGCAGGCGGUUCGUUAAGUCAGAUGUGAAAGCCCCGGGCUCAACCUGGGAACUGCAUUUGAAACUGGCGGGCUUGAGUGUGGUAGGGGAGAUCGGAAUUCCUGGUGUAGCGGUGAAAUGCGCAGAUAUCAGGAGGAACACCGGUGGCGAAGGCGGAUCUCUGGGCCAUUACUGACGCUGAGGAGCGAAAGCGUGGGGAGCGAACAGG